AACGAACGCUGGCGGCAGGCUUAACACAUGCCAGUCGAGCGCCCCGCAAGGGGAGCGGCAGACGGGUGAGUAACGCGUGGGAACGUACCUUUUGGUUCGGAACAACUCCGGGAAACUGGAGCUAAUACCGGAUAAGCCCUAACGGGGAAAGAUUUAUCGCCGAAAGAUCGGCCCGCGUCUGAUUAGCUAGUUGGUGAGGUAACGGCUCACCAAGGCGACGAUCAGUAGCUGGUCUGAGAGGAUGAUCAGCCACACUGGGACUGAGACACGGCCCAGACUCCUACGGGAGGCAGCAGUGGGGAAUAUUGGACAAUGGGCGCAAGCCUGAUCCAGCCAUGCCGCGUGAGUGAUGAAGGCCUUAGGGUUGUAAAGCUCUUUUGUCCGGGAAGAUAAUGACUGUACCGGAAGAAUAAGCCCCGGCUAACUUCGUG
This 431-nucleotide ribosomal RNA is filed under the name uncultured bacterium. RNAcentral describes it as "partial 16S ribosomal RNA". It matches the Rfam family "Bacterial small subunit ribosomal RNA", at positions 29 to 507 of the family's 1533-position model. The record is from RNAcentral.